RNAcentral lists this ribosomal RNA (484 nucleotides) under uncultured bacterium. RNAcentral describes it as "partial 16S ribosomal RNA". It matches the Rfam family "Bacterial small subunit ribosomal RNA", at positions 30 to 507 of the family's 1533-position model. The record is from RNAcentral.
AUUGAACGCUGGCGGCAGGCCUAACACAUGCAAGUCGAGCGGAUGAAGGGAGCUUGCUCCUGGAUUCAGCGGCGGACGGGUGAGUAAUGCCUAGGAAUCUGCCUGGUAGUGGGGGAUAACGUCCGGAAACGGGCGCUAAUACCGCAUACGUCCUGCGGGAGAAAGUGGGGGAUCUUCGGACCUCACGCUAUCAGAUGAGCCUAGGUCGGAUUAGCUAGUUGGUGGGGUAAAGGCCUACCAAGCCGACGAUCCGUAACUGGUCUGAGAGGAUGAUCAGUCACACUGGAACUGGGACACGGUCCAGACUCCUACGGGAGGCAGCAGUGGGGAAUAUUGGACAAUGGGCGAAAGCCUGAUCCAGCCAUGCCGCGUGUGUGAAGAAGGUCUUCGGAUUGUAAAGCACUUUAAGUUGGGAGGAAGGGCAGUAAGUUAAUACCUUGCUGUUUUGACGGUACCAACAGAAUAAGCACCGGCUAACUUCGUG